UCCCUGAUGGUCCAGUGACUAAGAUUCCGCACUCCCAAUGCAGGGGCCCCAGGUUCAACCCCUGGACAGGGAA
Non-coding RNA from Bos taurus (domestic cattle), 73 nucleotides. The record is from Rfam. NCBI's taxonomy places the organism in Eukaryota, Metazoa, Chordata, Mammalia, Artiodactyla, Bovidae.